This 497-nucleotide ribosomal RNA is filed under the name uncultured bacterium. RNAcentral describes it as "partial 16S ribosomal RNA". It matches the Rfam family "Bacterial small subunit ribosomal RNA", at positions 28 to 507 of the family's 1533-position model. The record is from RNAcentral.
GAUGAACGCUGGCGGCGUGCCUAAUACAUGCAAGUCGAGCGAACAGACGAGGAGCUUGCUCCUCUGACGUUAGCGGCGGACGGGUGAGUAACACGUGGAUAACCUACCUAUAAGACUGGGAUAACUUCGGGAAACCGGAGCUAAUGCCGGAUAAUAUAUUGAACCGCAUGGUUCAAUAGUGAAAGACGGUUUUGCUGUCACUUAUAGAUGGAUCCGCGCCGCAUUAGCUAGUUGGUAAGGUAACGGCUUACCAAGGCAACGAUGCGUAGCCGACCUGAGAGGGUGAUCGGCCACACUAGAACUGAGACACGGUCCAGACUCCUACGGGAGGCAGCAGUAGGGAAUCUUCCGCAAUGGGCGAAAGCGUGACGGAGCAACGCCGCGUGAGUGAUGAAGGUCUUCGGAUCGUAAAACUCUGUUAUUAGGGAAGAACAAAUGUGUAAGUAACUAUGCACGUCUUGACGGUACCUAAUCAGAAAGCCACGGCUAACUACGUG